GACGAACGCUGGCGGCGUGCCUAAUACAUGCAAGUAGAACGCUGAAGGAGGAGCUUGCUUCUCUGGAUGAGUUGCGAACGGGUGAGUAACGCGUAGGUAACCUGCCUGGUAGCGGGGGAUAACUAUUGGAAACGAUAGCUAAUACCGCAUAAUAGCAGUUAUUGCAUGAUAACUGUUUGAAAGGUGCAAUUGCACCACUACCAGAUGGACCUGCGUUGUAUUAGCUAGUUGGUGGGGUAACGGCUCACCAAGGCGACGAUACAUAGCCGACCUGAGAGGGUGAUCGGCCACACUGGGACUGAGACACGGCCCAGACUCCUACGGGAGGCAGCAGUAGGGAAUCUUCGGCAAUGGACGGAAGUCUGACCGAGCAACGCCGCGCGAGUGAAGAAGGUUUUCGGAUCGUAAAGCUCUGUUGUAAGAGAAGAACGAGUGUGAGAGUGGAAAGUUCACACUGUGACGGUAUCUUACCAGAAAGGGACGGCUAACUACGUG
Molecule: ribosomal RNA, 495 nt
Filed under: uncultured bacterium
Lineage: Bacteria
Description: partial 16S ribosomal RNA
Rfam family: Bacterial small subunit ribosomal RNA
Source: RNAcentral